This 253-nucleotide ribosomal RNA is filed under the name uncultured bacterium. Its description in RNAcentral is "partial 16S ribosomal RNA". It matches the Rfam family "Bacterial small subunit ribosomal RNA", at positions 524 to 776 of the family's 1533-position model. The record is from RNAcentral.
UACGUAGGGGGCAAGCGUUGUCCGGAAUCAUUGGGCGUAAAGCGCGUGUAGGCGGCUUGGUAAGUCCGGUGUGAAACCUUGGGGCUCAACCCCAAGCCUGCACUGGAUACUGCCUCGCUUGAGUCCGGGAGGGGAGAGCGGAAUUCCUAGUGUAGCGGUGAAAUGCGCAGAUAUUAGGAAGAACACCGGUGGCGAAGGCGGCUCUCUGGAACGGUACUGACGCUGAGACGCGAAAGCGUGGGGAGCGAACAGG